GGCUUCGUGCUCAGCUGAUAGACUUGCGCUUUGAACAAUGCUGUUUCUGUCGCUGGUUCGAAUCCAGCCGAAGUCC
Molecule: non-coding RNA, 76 nt
Organism: Paragonimus kellicotti
Lineage: Eukaryota; Metazoa; Platyhelminthes; Trematoda; Plagiorchiida; Troglotrematidae
Source: the annotation of a GenBank genome assembly